UGGCGGCAUCGCCGCCAUGAUGCUAACCCGCGAACACUUUUAUGUGCAUAUUGAGGAACCGCAUCGGAAGGUGCGUGUUAGCUUGUCUUGCUCCUAGUAAUACCCUCGAGUCGUGGGGUUGAGCACGUUAGCUUGCUUUCGCAAACGACUUUCGUCGCGAUGGUCUUCGACUAGGAUCCGAUUGGACCUAGAACGGGCCAUGGCGACAGAUUGCAAAAGCACCUCCCCUUGGGUCCCCCGGAUGCUCUCGGGACUCCCGAGUUCAUCCAAUGGGUGUGGCUGGAGGGCAACCUCGACAACCCAAACAAAAACAUGCAACCCCUUUUUUGAACCGAUCACCCUGAUCGUAUUGAAAACCGUGGCCAUUGCAGCCCGCGUUUCAAAAUAUAACUAAACAACUCUCAACAACGGAUAUCUUGGCUCUCGCAACGAUGAAGAACGCAGCGAAAUGCGAUACGUAGUGUGAAUUGCAGAAUUCCGUGAAUCAUCGAAUGUUUGAACGCAAAUUGCGCCCGAGGCUUCGGCCGAGGGCAUGUCUGCUUGAGCGCCGCUGGACACCCCUCGUUCCACCUUCUCGGUCUCCUAUUACGGUGAUGAGAGGAGGAGGACGGAAUGAUGGUCGCCUCGGACCCAUGAGAUGGAACGGCGGUGCAAGCCCUUUUCCCCUCAUCGAGCCGGCUGGAAAGAAAGAGCUCGGCCCGGUUCGUACCGUUACGGCACACCCGGCGUGGACGAAGCAACCUCGUUGACCCCUGUCACAGGGGCGUCGCGAGAGAAGCGGAUGUUGCCCGGAUGUCGUCUGCGUGCGCAAUUGCGCGUCGAGAAUCGAGCUGUGCCAACGGGCGUGUCUUGCACACGCUCGUGGAACCCCAACCCCUUGGCCU
Molecule: unclassified non-coding RNA, 884 nt
Filed under: Xanthidium uncinatum
Lineage: Eukaryota; Viridiplantae; Streptophyta; Zygnematophyceae; Desmidiales; Desmidiaceae
Description: sequence contains ITS1, 5.8S rRNA gene and ITS2
Rfam family: 5.8S ribosomal RNA (bases 397-550)
Source: RNAcentral